Long non-coding RNA from Gallus gallus (chicken), 603 nucleotides. The record is from Ensembl. Lineage: Eukaryota; Metazoa; Chordata; Aves; Galliformes; Phasianidae.
GCCUGCUUCCUCCUCAGCACAGGUUAGGUGGCACUGGGUCUGCAAAGGAACCAAAAGCACUGAGCUUAGCUGGGCACAGAACCAUCUGGACAGGCAUCUAGAAGAAGCUAGAAAAGACUUUAAUCAUGUUGAGCACCACAUCUUGAAACUCUACUGGAGACAUCCUUCCAAGCCUUUAAGCGUGUCUGUUGGACUCCUCUGGAUCUGAACCUGUCACUGGUCUAGACAACAAAGAAUAUUUGAACAGAUGUUUUUCAAGUGAGCCAUUAUUUCUCAAUUUUAAUAGAACGUCCAACUUCAUGCGAGUCAGGACUUCAUCCUGAGCGCCUCUGCACCGACAAGAAGUUGUGCUAAAUCAAGCUUUACACAACUCACUGUUCCUAGCACGGUUGGACUGAUGACGUUCUUUACCCUUUAAGAAACCUUUGAGGCUCACAAACAGAAGUUUUACAUUUAAUAGUGUGGAUACUCACAGCCUUGAUUCAUUUCCCUUGGUUUUAUAUCAUUGCUCUGUCAUGGUGCUGUUAUGGUGCAAGAAGGUGCUUUGGAAGCUUGGAGAAUAGUAAAGAGAGGCCUGGCUUUGCUCAGCAGAACUUAUUCAGG